UUAACAAAUAAUUUCGAAUAAAGAUAUCAAACUCUAGAGUUCAUUUGAAGUCAUGAAGCUUAGAUAAAAUUGAAGUCAUGAAGCUUUGAUAAAUUGGAAGUUUGGCAUGGGAAUGAAUGAUGAAUUAGGUGUAAGUAGAUUAAGUCUUGUUUUUAUUCUAUAUCUUAUGAUAUAAAUCAUUGUGAUUAUUACAUAGAUACUCUUAAUUGCCUGACAUAUUCAGGGAACCUAAAAACUACUCGAAUGUGAAAGGUGAAGAAGAAGCACCAUAACAAAAAUCAUUGUGAAUCUGUUUCUAAUCAAUUCAUCAGUAUUUUUUCAUUGAUUAAACUUGAUAAAGGUGGUGUUGGAUUAGCUUCACAAUCACAAGUGCAACAAUUCAAAGAAGCAAUUGGUUCAACUAAGUAGGAAGGGUUUCCAUCCCCUGCCAUAGUCACAAGAAUCUUGGACUCAUUAUUAUCAAUAACCACAUUACUAGGCAUUGUGCUUUAACAGGAAGAAGAGAUUGGCUGAGACGAAGGAAGCAGCUGAAGUUGAGAUUUGGAUCAGUGGUUCCAAUUUCAGGAUCUGAUUUUGUUUGAGAGGUUUCACAGGCUUCCUCUGAUGUUUGGGUGAUUGUCAUCCUUUACAAAGAUGGGUAUGCUAGAUGACAUUUCUAAGUUCAAAUUUUAGGAAAUAUUUCUGAACACCACACGUCCUCAUAUAAUAUCUAUAAAUUACUUGGUGCAUUGAAGAAUUUGUCACAAGAUAUCCUGUAACAAAAUAAAUUUGUUAAGAUAAUAUCAACUGAUUGCAUUCCCAAUCUGCCCACCGCCCACCGUAUUGGUAUACAACAAUGGAGCAGUCAAGGAAAAUUGUGUUGGCUUGUGUAGUUUUGGACGAAGAUGCACUCUUGAAGGAAUUUAAUUGAUUUUAUCUUAUGAUGCCUUUUGUGAA
Molecule: long non-coding RNA, 936 nt
Organism: Arachis duranensis
Lineage: Eukaryota; Viridiplantae; Streptophyta; Magnoliopsida; Fabales; Fabaceae
Exons: 3
Source: RefSeq, a predicted model, not a curated record